GAUGAACGCUGGCGGCGUGCCUAAUACAUGCAAGUAGAACGCUGAAGGAGGAGCUUGCUCUUCUGGAUGAGUUGCGAACGGGUGAGUAACGCGUAGGUAACCUGCCUGGUAGCGGGGGAUAACUAUUGGAAACGAUAGCUAAUACCGCAUGACAACAGUUAUUGCAUGAUAACUGUUUAAAAGGGGCAACUGCUCCACUACCAGAUGGACCUGCGUUGUAUUAGCUAGUUGGUGAGGUAACGGCUCACCAAGGCGACGAUACAUAGCCGACCUGAGAGGGGGAUCGGCCACACUGGGACUGAGACACGGCCCAGACUCCUACGGGAGGCAGCAGUAGGGAAUCUUCGGCAAUGGACGGAAGUCUGACCGAGCAACGCCGCGUGAGUGAAGAAGGGUUUCGGAUCGUAAAGCUCUGUUGUAAGAGAAGAACGAGGGUGAGAGUGGAAAGUUCACACUGUGACGGUAGCUUACCAGAAAGAGACGGCUAACUACGUG
This 495-nucleotide ribosomal RNA is filed under the name uncultured bacterium. Its description in RNAcentral is "partial 16S ribosomal RNA". It matches the Rfam family "Bacterial small subunit ribosomal RNA", at positions 28 to 507 of the family's 1533-position model. The record is from RNAcentral.